This 494-nucleotide ribosomal RNA is filed under the name uncultured bacterium. Its description in RNAcentral is "partial 16S ribosomal RNA". It matches the Rfam family "Bacterial small subunit ribosomal RNA", at positions 28 to 523 of the family's 1533-position model. The record is from RNAcentral.
GAUGAACGCUAGCGGCAGGCUUAACACAUGCAAGUCGAGGGGUAUAGUUCUUCGGAACUAGAGACCGGCGCACGGGUGCGUAACGCGUAUGCAAUCUACCUUUUACAGGGGAAUAGCCCAGAGAAAUUUGGAUUAAUGCCCCAUAGUAUAGUUUAUUCGCAUGAGUAGAUUAUUAAAGUUCCAACGGUAAAAGAUGAGCAUGCGUCCCAUUAGCUAGAUGGUAAGGUAACGGCUUACCAUGGCGACGAUGGGUAGGGGUCCUGAGAGGGAGAUCCCCCACACUGGAACUGAGACACGGACCAGACUCCUACGGGAGGCAGCAGUGAGGAAUAUUGGUCAAUGGGCGCAAGUCUGAACCAGCCAUGCCGCGUGCAGGAUGACGGUCCUAUGGAUUGUAAACUGCUUUUGUACGAGAAGAAACACUGCUAUGUGUAGCAGCUUGACGGUAUCGUAAGAAUAAGGAUCGGCUAACUCCGUGCCAGCCGCCGCAGUAA